CAGUAGCCACGGGAACACGUAGGGUGCAAGCGUUAAUCGGAAUUACUGGGCGUAAAGCGUGCGCAGGCGGUUAUAUAAGACAGAUGUGAAAUCCCCGGGCUCAACCUGGGAACUGCAUUUGUGACUGUAUAGCUAGAGUACGGCAGAGGGGGAUGGAAUUCCGCGUGUAGCAGUGAAAUGCGUAGAUAUGCGGAGGAACACCGAUGGCGAAGGCAAUCCCCUGGGCCUGUACUGACGCUCAUGCACGAAAGCGUGGGGAGCAAACAGGAUUAGAUACCCGCGUAGUCCCUGUCUCUUAUAC
RNAcentral lists this ribosomal RNA (301 nucleotides) under uncultured bacterium. Its description in RNAcentral is "partial 16S ribosomal RNA". It matches the Rfam family "Bacterial small subunit ribosomal RNA", at positions 509 to 807 of the family's 1533-position model. The record is from RNAcentral.